CCUACGGGUAGCAGCAGUGAGGAAUAUUGGUCAAUGGACGAGAGUCUGAACCAGCCAAGUAACGUGAAGGAUGACUGCCCUAUGGGUUGUAAACUUCUUUUAUAUAGGAAUAAAAUGUUCCACGUGUGGGCUUUUGUAUGUACCAUAUGAAUAAGGAUCGGCUAACUCCGUGCCAGCAGCCGCGGUAAUACGGAGGAUCCGAGCGUUAUCCGGAUUUAUUGGGUUUAAAGGGAGCGUAGGUGGAUUGUUAAGUCAGUUGUGAAAGUUUGCGGCUCAACCGUAAAAUUGCAGUUGAAACUGGCAGUCUUGAGUAUAGUAGAGGUGGGCGGAAUGCGUGGUGUAGCGGUGAAAUGCUUAGAUAUCACGAAGAACUCCGAUUGCGAAGGCAGCUCACUGGACUGCAACUGACACUGAGGCUCGAAAGUGUGGGUAUCAAACAGGAUUAGAUACCCUAGUAGUC
This 460-nucleotide ribosomal RNA is filed under the name uncultured bacterium. RNAcentral's name for it is "partial 16S ribosomal RNA". It matches the Rfam family "Bacterial small subunit ribosomal RNA", at positions 338 to 795 of the family's 1533-position model. The record is from RNAcentral.